Molecule: long non-coding RNA, 1503 nt
Organism: Stomoxys calcitrans (stable fly)
Lineage: Eukaryota; Metazoa; Arthropoda; Insecta; Diptera; Muscidae
Exons: 2
Source: RefSeq, a predicted model, not a curated record
CAAAUAUGGUAUUCAGUAGCUACUUUUAACGAUGACCGACAUCGUUAAAAUCAGACGUUUUCGCUAACAAAUAGAAUUCGUUAACUAAACGACGGACAAUUAUUUGGUGUUUACUUUAACGAAAUAAAUGAAAAUUAAUAUUAACGACGGCUUUAGAAGUCGAAGAACCGGCUAGUGGCUGCUGUCGAAGAACCUUUUGAGUUCCAUCCUUCCCCGCUGGCGCAAACCUUGAGCCUAGUCCAACCGUUUCGAUGCUUUCCCCUCCUGAUUCGAUCGUGGCAGGGGGAUUUUCAGUCUCUUUUAAUCCGCCAGACAUUAACGAUGUGGUCGAUAGCUCCUCAGGCAAGUGAUCAGCAACAACUGCUAAGUCGUCUCCUGAUUCCCCAACCCCACCGCUUCUAUAGACCUUCAGUUUCAACAUGUUGAAUCCGUAGGAUACAACUCCUUUAGACUUGUUGAGGUCUGCGAUACAGCCGUAGUUUAGUACGAAACUGCAUGUCUCCGGUCACUAUCAGCCUCAUCCAAUCUACCAAUCUUCCAGUCGGUGGUUGAAAGGUUAGGAGCACAUUCCCUUAGUCUUCCAAGUAUGGAUUCAACAUCUGAGCGAAUCCUUGGUGUCCAAGCGUGCGUCAUUUGUCGAGAAGGAAUACCUUCUUUCUUGACUAGAUCCAGUGCUGUGCCUGGUCAGAUCCCAUCUGAAUUUUCUCUUACGACGCAACGAUACAUUUCCAUUGACUAUCCCUCUCCAAUUAUGCGGCCCUGUUCUUCUCACUAGUCGACAACUGCCAUCACCAAACUGUCCUUGCGACAUUAGCAAAGUGCAGUUCCCGAAUCUAGAUGUGCAGUAUUUGGGGUAGCCUGUGCAGCGAACCCCUGAGGACAGUUCAGGGAUGCUCUCUCCCCGACAGUGAGAGUCUUAGGAUCAUUCGCACCAAGCCUCUCGAUAAACCUGAGAGCGAUGCGCAUUCUAUUAUUCCAACCUCUGAAAGAGCCUGUUUGUUUGCCGGGAAGGCCCUGCUGACCAGUCGUCUGUCGGCUGGUGGAGUCUGGAGCAGCCGCUUCACCAGUCGAGGUUUCAGUAGCGGACAAUAUGCUGUGGCCCGAUACCACCAUCGCAGCAGUUGGGUCUUUGUAGUCCACUCUAAGCCUACUCCCGGGUUCUAGGUCAGCCGCUCCACUGGAAACAGGUGCAGAUCAAACUCCUAUUCGAUGACACUGUCGUAGCUAUCCGUGAGUGACUUAAAAAUUUGUUUCCAAGAAUAAUGAGCUGUUACGAGUUAGAGAAAAAUUCCUGCGGAGCGAAAUAUCAAAACGUUCGCUCCACUCAACGGUUCAAACAAAAAUCGGACCACAGAGAUACUCUUUAUUUUAUUGGUAACCACACAACAACACCGGGGUGUUCUAAUUGACUGUGCGGGUUCGUUAUUUUACAUCAUUGAUAUGAGCAAUUAAGUAUUCUAGGUAUUUUUUAAAUUAAGGAUUAGUAAAGUUGUUUGUAAAUUA